GAUGAACGCUGGCGGCGUGCCUAAUACAUGCAAGUCGAGCGAACAGACGAGGAGCUUGCUCCUCUGACGUUAGCGGCGGACGGGUGAGUAACACGUGGAUAACCUACCUAUAAGACUGGGAUAACUUCGGGAAACCGGAGCUAAUACCGGAUAAUAUAUUGAACCGCACGGUUCAAUAGUGAAAUACGGUUUUGCUGUCACUUAUAGAUGGAUCCGCGCCGCAUUAGCUAGUUGGUAAGGUAACGGCUUACGAAGGCAACGAUGCGUAUCCGACCUGAGAGGGUGAUCGGACACACUGGAACUGAGGCACGGUCCAGACUCCUACGGGAGGCAGCAGUAGGGAAUCUUCCGCAAUGGGCGAAAGCCUGACGGAGCAACGCCGCGUGAGUGAUGAAGGUCUUCGGAUCGUAAAACUCUGUUAUUGGGGAAGAACAAAUGUGUAAGUAGCUAUGCACGUCUUGACGGUACCUAAUCAGAAAGCCACGGCUAACUACGUG
RNAcentral lists this ribosomal RNA (497 nucleotides) under uncultured bacterium. RNAcentral's name for it is "partial 16S ribosomal RNA". It matches the Rfam family "Bacterial small subunit ribosomal RNA", at positions 28 to 507 of the family's 1533-position model. The record is from RNAcentral.